UACGUAGGGUGCAAGCGUUGUCCGGAAUUAUUGGGCGUAAAGAGCUCGUAGGCGGUCUGUCGCGUCUGCUGUGAAAACCCGGGGCUUAACCCCGGGCCUGCAGUGGGUACGGGCAGACUAGAGUGCGGUAGGGGAGACUGGAAUUCCUGGUGUAGCGGUGAAAUGCGCAGAUAUCAGGAGGAACACCGGUGGCGAAGGCGGGUCUCUGGGCCGUAACUGACGCUGAGGAGCGAAAGCAUGGGGAGCGAACAGGAUUAGAUACCCUAGUAGUCC
RNAcentral lists this ribosomal RNA (273 nucleotides) under uncultured bacterium. Its description in RNAcentral is "partial 16S ribosomal RNA". It matches the Rfam family "Bacterial small subunit ribosomal RNA", at positions 524 to 796 of the family's 1533-position model. The record is from RNAcentral.